CUUUUAUUUCUAAUUUGGAUAAUUUGGAGAUUAAUUGAUCCAUAAGUGUUUUAUUAUCAUCGCCUAUAUGAAAUUUUUCUUUAUUCAAGUCAGGAGGAGGUUUAAAAAAUAAUUGUUUUUUCUCCUUAUAAAUGGGAGGAUGUAAUAAGUUUUCUAUUCUAUUAGUUUGUUGUCCAAGUGUAUGGAGGCAGAGAUUUGUAUAAUUAUUUUGUUCAAUUAUAUGUGGAAGUAAUUCUAUACGAG
This 243-nucleotide long non-coding RNA is filed under the name Amborella trichopoda. Its description in RNAcentral is "long non-coding RNA (ATRI_LNC001415)". Lineage: Eukaryota; Viridiplantae; Streptophyta; Magnoliopsida; Amborellales; Amborellaceae. The record is from RNAcentral.